GGGUUGUGAGGUUAAGCGACCAAGCGUACACGGUGGAUGCCCUGGCAGUCAGAGGCGAUGAAGGACGUGCUAAUCUGCGAUAAGCGCCGGUAAGGUGAUAUGAACCGUUAUAACCGGCGAUUUCCGAAUGGGGAAACCCAGUGUGACUCGUCACACUAUCAUUAACUGAAUCCAUAGGUUAAUGAGGCGAACCGGGGGAACUGAAACAUCUAAGUACCCCGAGGAAAAGAAAUCAACCGAGAUUCCCCCAGUAGCGGCGAGCGAACGGGGAGGAGCCCAGAGCCUGAAUCAGCAUGUGUGUUAGUGGAAGCGUCUGGAAAGGCGCGCGAUACAGGGUGACAGCCCCGUACACAAAAGCGCACAUGUUGUGAGCUCGAUGAGUAGGGCGGGACACGUGGUAUCCUGUCUGAAUAUGGGGGGACCAUCCUCCAAGGCUAAAUACUCCUGACUGACCGAUAGUGAACCAGUACCGUGAGGGAAAGGCGAAAAGAACCCCGGCGAGGGGAGUGAAACAGAACCUGAAACCGUGUACGUACAAGCAGUGGGAGCACAGGUUUACCUGUGUGACUGCGUACCUUUUGUAUAAUGGGUCAGCGACUUAUAUUCUGUAGCAAGGUUAACCGCAUAGGGGAGCCGAAGGGAAACCGAGUCUUAACCGGGCGUUAAGUUGCAGGGUAUAGACCCGAAACCCGGUGAUCUAGCCAUGGGCAGGUUGAAGGUUGGGUAACACUAACUGGAGGACCGAACCGACUAAUGUUGAAAAAUUAGCGGAUGACCUGUGGCUGGGGGUGAAAGGCCAAUCAAACCGGGAGAUAGCUGGUUCUCCCCGAAAGCUAUUUAGGUAGCGCCUCGUGAACUCAUCUCCGGGGGUAGAGCACUGUUUCGGCUAGGGGGCCAUCCCGGCUUACCAACCCGAUGCAAACUGCGAAUACCGGAGAAUGUUAUCACGGGAGACACACGGCGGGUGCUAACGUCCGUCGUGAAGAGGGAAACAACCCAGACCGCCAGCUAAGGUCCCAAAGUCAUGGUUAAGUGGGAAACGAUGUGGGAAGGCCCAGACAGCCAGGAUGUUGGCUUAGAAGCAGCCAUCAUUUAAAGAAAGCGUAAUAGCUCACUGGUCGAGUCGGCCUGCGCGGAAGAUGUAACGGGGCUAAACCAUGCACCGAAGCUGCGGCAGCGACGCUUAUGCGUUGUUGGGUAGGGGAGCGUUCUGUAAGCCUGCGAAGGUGGCCUGUGAGGGUUGCUGGAGGUAUCAGAAGUGCGAAUGCUGACAUAAGUAACGAUAAAGCGGGUGAAAAGCCCGCUCGCCGGAAGACCAAGGGUUCCUGUCCAACGUUAAUCGGGGCAGGGUGAGUCGACCCCUAAGGCGAGGCCGAAAGGCGUAGUCGAUGGGAAACGGGUUAAUAUUCCCGUACUUGGUGUUACUGCGAAGGGGGGACGGAGAAGGCUAUGUUGGCCGGGCGACGGUUGUCCCGGUUUAAGCGUGUAGGCUGACUUUCCAGGCAAAUCCGGAGAGUCAAGGCUGAGGCGUGACGACGAGGCACCACGGUGCUGAAGCAACAAAUGCCCUGCUUCCAGGAAAAGCCUCUAAGCAUCAGGUAACAUCAAAUCGUACCCCAAACCGACACAGGUGGUCAGGUAGAGAAUACCAAGGCGCUUGAGAGAACUCGGGUGAAGGAACUAGGCAAAAUGGUGCCGUAACUUCGGGAGAAGGCACGCUGACACGUAGGUGAAGUGGUUUACCCAUGGAGCUGAAGUCAGUCGAAGAUACCAGCUGGCUGCAACUGUUUAUUAAAAACACAGCACUGUGCAAACACGAAAGUGGACGUAUACGGUGUGACGCCUGCCCGGUGCCGGAAGGUUAAUUGAUGGGGUCAGCGCAAGCGAAGCUCCUGAUCGAAGCCCCGGUAAACGGCGGCCGUAACUAUAACGGUCCUAAGGUAGCGAAAUUCCUUGUCGGGUAAGUUCCGACCUGCACGAAUGGCGUAAUGAUGGCCCAGGCUGUCUCCACCCGAGACUCAGUGAAAUUGAACUCGCUGUGAAGAUGCAGUGUACCCGCGGCAAGACGGAAAGACCCCGUGAACCUUUACUAUAGCUUGACACUGAACAUUGAGCCUUGAUGUGUAGGAUAGGUGGGAGGCUUUGAAGCGUGGACGCCAGUCUGCGUGGAGCCGGCCUUGAAAUACCACCCUUUAAUGUUUGAUGUUCUAACGUGGACCCGUAAUCCGGGUUGCGGACAGUGUCUGGUGGGUAGUUUGACUGGGGCGGUCUCCUCCUAAAGAGUAACGGAGGAGCACGAAGGUUGGCUAAUCCUGGUCGGACAUCAGGAGGUUAGUGCAAUGGCAUAAGCCAGCUUGACUGCGAGCGUGACGGCGCGAGCAGGUGCGAAAGCAGGUCAUAGUGAUCCGGUGGUUCUGAAUGGAAGGGCCAUCGCUCAACGGAUAAAAGGUACUCCGGGGAUAACAGGCUGAUACCGCCCAAGAGUUCAUAUCGACGGCGGUGUUUGGCACCUCGAUGUCGGCUCAUCACAUCCUGGGGCUGAAGUAGGUCCCAAGGGUAUGGCUGUUCGCCAUUUAAAGUGGUACGCGAGCUGGGUUUAGAACGUCGUGAGACAGUUCGGUCCCUAUCUGCCGUGGGCGCUGGAGAACUGAGGGGGCUGCUCCUAGUACGAGAGGACCGGAGUGGACGCAUCACUGGUGUUCGGGUUGUCAUGCCAAUGGCACUGCCCGGUAGCUAAAUGCGGAAGAGAUAAGUGCUGAAAGCAUCUAAGCACGAAACUUGCCCCGAGAUGAGUUCUCCCUGAGACUAUAAGUCUCCUGAAGGAACGUUGAAGACGACGACGUUGAUAGGCCGGGUGUGUAAGCGCAGCGAUGCGUUGAGCUAACCGGUACUAAUGAACCGUGAGGCUUAACCUUACAACGCCGAAGCUGUU
Molecule: ribosomal RNA, 2932 nt
Filed under: Salmonella enterica subsp. enterica
Lineage: Bacteria; Pseudomonadati; Pseudomonadota; Gammaproteobacteria; Enterobacterales; Enterobacteriaceae
Also listed under: 1 other name
Description: bacterial LSU rRNA
Rfam family: Bacterial large subunit ribosomal RNA
Source: RNAcentral